Molecule: ribosomal RNA, 185 nt
Filed under: Pseudomonas citronellolis
Lineage: Bacteria; Pseudomonadati; Pseudomonadota; Gammaproteobacteria; Pseudomonadales; Pseudomonadaceae
Description: partial 16S ribosomal RNA
Rfam family: Bacterial small subunit ribosomal RNA
Source: RNAcentral
GAACUGAAGAGUUUGAUCAUGGCUCAGAUUGAACGCUGGCGGCAGGCCUAACACAUGCAAGUCGAGCGGAUGAAGGGAGCUUGCUUCUGGAUUCAGCGGCGGACGGGUGAGUAAUGCCUAGGAAUCUGCCUGGUAGUGGGGGACAACGUUCCGAAAGGAGCGCUAAUACCGCAUACGUCCUACGG